This 206-nucleotide unclassified non-coding RNA is filed under the name Hevea brasiliensis (rubber tree). Lineage: Eukaryota; Viridiplantae; Streptophyta; Magnoliopsida; Malpighiales; Euphorbiaceae. The record is from RNAcentral.
GAGGUAUCUACAGCUUCUUUUAGGGGGGAAAUCAAGAUUUAGUUGCAGAAAGAUAAUGAAAAAAAGAAAUAUAGAAUCAUUGAAUGUUGUUGGGGGAAGACAGUCACCACAAGGACUUGUGAAACUCUCUAGUGAUGGCUAGGAAUCAGUUAAAAGUGCUUAAUGCACUUGAUUUGGCAAAGACACAAUGGUACCAUUUCACUGCA